GUUUGAGAUCUGGUAAAACAUCAGGUCUUAGUCCAGGGAAGAGAAGGCUGAAUCCAGGACAGAAGACCCUUCCUGACAGACAAGAGGUUUGAGAUCUGGUAAAACAUCAGGUCUUAGUCCAGGAAGAGAAGGCUGAAUCCAGGACAGAAGACCCUUCCUGACAGACAAGAGGUUUGAGAUCUGGUAAAACAUCAGGUCUUAGUCCAGGAAGAGAAGGCUGAAUCCAGGACAGAAGACCCUUCCUGACAGACAAGAGGUUUGAGAUCUGGUGAAACAACAUCAGGUCUUAGUCCAGGAAGAGAAGGCUGAAUCCAGGACAGAAGACCCUUCCUGACAGACAAGAGGUUUGACAUCUGGUAAAACAUCAGGUCUUAGAUGGACAUAGUAGUUUCAAGAGUAGUAGGCAAGGCCCAGUUCUGUGACAGAGGACAUGGUUAGGAAGGCCCCAAUCACUCUCUCUCUCUCUCUCCCUCUCUCUCUCUCCACACACACACACACACACACACACACACACACACACACACACACACACACACACACACACACACACACACACACACACAAAGAAGGUUCAGUCUCACCCACCACGUGGAACUCAAAGAAGAAUGAACAUUCUGAGAGAAUUGACAUUGAUUAAAGAAAAUAAGAAGAAAUUAAUUUAUUAAGAUAGUAAUAAAAUGUUAAAUAUGUUAAAUGUUGGAAGCAUUGGGAAACAUAUAGUGGGAGAUAUUAAAAGGUGAUUCAAGUAAUGCAGUGAAAUGGUUCAGAAUGUUUUAAUGUUGGUUGCUUUAAGGUACGAUGCUUGUAGACUGUGUUGGUUAGGUUUAAAGGACAAGGCCUUAUGGUCUGUAGGAGGUUGGUAAUGACAUGUUAUAAUGAUGAAAUGGUAUAAUGUUGAAGGGUUUUAAAAAUGUUGAUUGUUUAGGAAGUAAUGGGAAGAAUAGGUUCGAGUGGGAUUAUAAUUGAGAAGGGAAUGUUAAUGUUUAAAAAUUCAUGUUUAGAAAUAAAUGUUUUAAAAGUUAAUGAUAAUGGAGUGUACUGAGGGUGCUAUCUUGCUUUGGGAAUCCCCCGGUCAGAGCAGCCAGGAGGAGGCAUCCUGUCUAGACGUCCUGCCUAUGUGAGGAAAGAUGGGGGUUAGUGGGUGCUGAAAGAGCACCUUUUGAGUGAUGGCCACAUUAGGUGCUAACCACUGAAUGCAUCAUUGGAGCAGGUGUUAGCCACAAUGAGUUAACAGAAAGGAAGAUGGAGGGUAUAAAGGAGGCAUCAUUCUGGAGAAGGGUACGACUCUCUAUUAGCUUCAACAACCUGUGGACUGAUGGAAGAAGAUUUCUGCUGUAGCUUUUUAGCUUGAAAUAUAUUUUUAUAUAUAUUAAACUCAUAUUUAGAUUUAUAUUAUACUCAUAUUUAGAUUUAUAUUAUACUCAUAUUUAGAUUUAUAUUAUUCUCAUAUUUAGAUUUGUAUUAUUCUCAGUUAAAGUAAAAUUCUAGGAGGGAUCCUUAAGGUUUCCUCAUUGAUAGAAGUGUGUUAAAGUAGCUGGUAGAGUUUUUAGACGCCAACUGAGGGACUGAUCAUCCUGAGGGGGGAGAUAAAAAACAGUAUGUAAAGUUGUAGAAGGUAAGAACCUGUUUUUCUAUAUAUUAAUUACUGUGCUUCUCAUAAAGUUGUAAAAUACAAAACAUAUUUUAUUGGCAAUAAGGGUAUAGUUAUUAAGGGCUCUGAAGGUGUCUAUCAAUUUAAUUUACUGUUGAUGUUGCUUAUCAUUGAUGGUGAUAUUGAUUUGUGAUUGACUGAUUGAUCUGGGAUUUUUUAUGCCUCUUUCUGGGAUUUUGAAUAAACUUUCCUUAUUGUUCUGAAA
This is a non-coding RNA of Salmo salar (Atlantic salmon), 1856 nucleotides long. The record is from RefSeq and is a predicted model, not a curated record. Lineage: Eukaryota; Metazoa; Chordata; Actinopteri; Salmoniformes; Salmonidae.